UUAUUCUUUCCAUUAUCUCUCCAUACCAACAUCUGACGUUUUGUGAGGAGGGAAAGCUCUUUCUGUUCCACCUGUCCCGGCUCAGCAGUGAGACUACUUGCAUAUGUGAAAUACGCCAUGGGACUGGGUAUCUUUCUCUGUACUUUUACACUAGCUACACAAACUUUACUCCUCUACAGGUCAGAGAUGCAAAAUCGGAAUGGACAUGGUAGAGAUGAGCAGGAUUUUGGAGCACCAAGAAGAUGGCAGGGUCUGGCUUCAGGUUUUGGAGGAAUAGGUGUAGCUGUACUUAAGAUCUGAGCAAAACACAAAUUUUGGAAUUCCUUGUGGAAGAACAGGCAGCUCUUGGGGCAGUGUGUGUCUGCAGCUGACUUAUCUGUGGGUGAGGACAGCCGCUGGGGAGCAGGUCAGACAAAUUGCUAUGUGAAUUCUGCCAGCAUCAGAGACACUGAAAUAUCUCCGGGUAAUGGAGGCAAGCACAACUGUUUGGUUUGGUUUGGUUUGGUUUUUUCUGGAUGGAGAACUGAGGUGUGAGCAGUGCUGGUGGUCAGAAGAGAGAAGGAGAUGGGUGGUCAGGAGAGAAGGAGGUGGGUGGUCCAGAGGCAGAACUCUGCCGCUGGCAAUAAGGACAGAAACGUGUUUGUUUGCUGAAGAUACCCCAAUAAUCAUGAGUACAAAUGGUCCCAUCUGUAUCUCUUUGGUAUGAACUGGGUCUCCUUUUGAAUGUAUGCAUUUAGCAAAAGCUGCAGCUUCUGGCCAGAAA
This 763-nucleotide long non-coding RNA is filed under the name Anser brachyrhynchus (Pink-footed goose). Its description in RNAcentral is "lncRNA (ENSABRG00000005199.1)". Lineage: Eukaryota; Metazoa; Chordata; Aves; Anseriformes; Anatidae. The record is from RNAcentral.